Molecule: long non-coding RNA, 243 nt
Filed under: Spirodela polyrhiza (greater duckweed)
Lineage: Eukaryota; Viridiplantae; Streptophyta; Magnoliopsida; Alismatales; Araceae
Description: long non-coding RNA (SPOL_LNC000638)
Source: RNAcentral
AUGAUUGCACCUCCAGCUGCCACGCCAACGACGGCUCUCAGAGCAGUACCAGCUGCUCACCCAGCUUGGCUCCGCUUGGCUCUGUCAUAUAUACCGGGGGAGCCUCCUUCCAUCUCCAGAAGCUAAGAACUCGGCUACGAAGCUCAAGCUUACGAGAGAGAAAGAAGAGAGAGAGAGAGUGAGAGCCAUCUCACAGUUCCGGUGUAGCACCCUCAUCGCCCACAGUUCAGCCAGGAGACGAGG